AUGCAAAACAAUGGGAGUUUGUGUGCUAGAUAAUAGUUGAAGAUGAGUUAGGAGUAUAACAAAGUGGUAAUGCUACCAGUCGUCGACAGAUAACU
This 95-nucleotide small nucleolar RNA is filed under the name Sorex araneus (European shrew). Lineage: Eukaryota; Metazoa; Chordata; Mammalia; Eulipotyphla; Soricidae. The record is from RNAcentral.